This 563-nucleotide ribosomal RNA is filed under the name uncultured bacterium. RNAcentral's name for it is "partial 16S ribosomal RNA". It matches the Rfam family "Bacterial small subunit ribosomal RNA", at positions 357 to 914 of the family's 1533-position model. The record is from RNAcentral.
UGGGAAUUUGGACAAUGGGCGAAAGCCUGAUCCAGCAAUGCCGCGUGUGUGAAGAAGGCCUUCGGGUUGUAAAGCACUUUUGUCCGGAAAGAAAUCCUUGGCUCUAAUACGGUCGGGGGAUGACGGUACCGGAAGAAUAAGCACCGGCUAACUACGUGCCAGCAGCCGCGGUAAUACGUAGGGUGCAAGCGUUAAUCGGAAUUACUGGGCGUAAAGCGUGCGCAGGCGGUUUGCUAAGACCGAUGUGAAAUCCCCGGGCUCAACCUGGGAACUGCAUUGGUGACUGGCAGGCUAGAGUAUGGCAGAGGGGGGUAGAAUUCCACGUGUAGCAGUGAAAUGCGUAGAGAUGUGGAGGAAUACCGAUGGCGAAGGCAGCCCCCUGGGCCAAUACUGACGCUCAUGCACGAAAGCGUGGGGAGCAAACAGGAUUAGAUACCCUGGUAGUCCACGCCCUAAACGAUGUCAACUAGUUGUUGGGGAUUCAUUCCUUAGUAACGUAGCUAACGCGUGAAGUUGACCGCCUGGGGAGUACGGUCGCAAGAUUAAAACUUAAAUGAAUUGAC